This 253-nucleotide ribosomal RNA is filed under the name uncultured bacterium. RNAcentral's name for it is "partial 16S ribosomal RNA". It matches the Rfam family "Bacterial small subunit ribosomal RNA", at positions 524 to 776 of the family's 1533-position model. The record is from RNAcentral.
UACGUAGGGUGCGAGCGUUAAUCGGAAUUAUUGGGCGUAAAGAGCUCGUAGGCGGUCUGUCGCGUCGGCUGUGAAAUCCCGAGGCUCAACCUCGGGUCUGCAGUCGAUACGGGCAAACUGGAGUGUUGCAGGGGAGACUGGAAUUCCUGGUGUAGCGGUGAAAUGCGCAGAUAUCAGGAGGAACACCGGUGGCGAAGGCGGGUCUCUGGGCAACAACUGACGCUGAGGAGCGAAAGCGUGGGGAGCGAACAGG